UACGUAGGGUGCAGGCGUUAAUCGGAAUUACUGGGCGUAAAGCGUGCGCAGGCGGUUUGUUAAGACAGAUGUGAAAUCCCCGGGCUUAACCUGGGAACUGCGUUUGUUACUGGCAAGCUGGAGUGUGGCAGAGGGGGGUGGAAUUCCAAGUGUAGCAGUGAAAUGCGUAGAUAUUUGGAGGAACACCGAUGGCGAAGGCAGCCCCCUGGGCUAACACUGACGCUCAUGCACGAAAGCGUGGGGAGCAAACAGG
Molecule: ribosomal RNA, 253 nt
Filed under: uncultured bacterium
Lineage: Bacteria
Description: partial 16S ribosomal RNA
Rfam family: Bacterial small subunit ribosomal RNA
Source: RNAcentral